GACGAACGCUGGCGGCGUGCUUAACACAUGCAAGUCGAACGGAAAGGCCCUGCUUUUGUGGGGUUCUCGUGUGGCGAACGGGUGAGUAACACGUGAGUAACCUGCCCUUGACUUUGUGAUAACUUCAGGAAACUGGGGCUAAUACCGGAUAGGAGCUCCUGCUGCAUGGUGGGGGUUGGAAAGUUUCGGCGGUUGGGGAUGGACUCGCGGCUUAUCAGCUUGUUGGUGGGGUAGUGGCUUACCAAGGCUUUGACGGGUAGCCGGCAUGAGAGGGUUAACGGCGACAUUGGGACUAAGAUACGGAGCAGAAGGGUACGGGAGGCAGCAGUGGGGAAUAUUGCACAAUGGGCGGAAGCAUGAUGCAGAAACGGCGCGAGCGGGAAGACGGGCUUCGGGUUGAAAACAGAUUUGGAAUGUGACGAAGCGUGAGUGACGGUAAUGGGUAAAGAAGCAACGGCUAACUACGUG
RNAcentral lists this ribosomal RNA (468 nucleotides) under uncultured bacterium. Its description in RNAcentral is "partial 16S ribosomal RNA". It matches the Rfam family "Bacterial small subunit ribosomal RNA", at positions 28 to 507 of the family's 1533-position model. The record is from RNAcentral.